Molecule: transfer RNA, 84 nt
Filed under: Flammeovirga yaeyamensis
Lineage: Bacteria; Pseudomonadati; Bacteroidota; Cytophagia; Cytophagales; Flammeovirgaceae
Also listed under: 5 other names
Description: tRNA-Leu
Rfam family: tRNA
About the family: Transfer RNA (tRNA) molecules are approximately 80 nucleotides in length.
Source: RNAcentral
GCUCACGUGGUGAAAUUGGUAGACACGCCAUCUUGAGGGGGUGGUGGGAGCAAUCCCGUGUUGGUUCGAAUCCAAUCGUGAGCA